ACGGAAGUUUUCAGAGAUGAGAAUGUGCCUUCGGGAACCGUGAGACAGGUGCUGCAUGGCUGUCGUCAGCUCGUGUUGUGAAAUGUUGGGUUAAGUCCCGCAACGAGCGCAACCCUUAUCCUUUGUUGCCAGCGAUUCGGUCGGGAACUCAAAGGAGACUGCCAGUGAUAAACUGGAGGAAGGUGGGGAUGACGUCAAGUCAUCAUGGCCCUUACGACCAGGGCUACACACGUGCUACAAUGGCGCAUACAAAGAGAAGCGACCUCGCGAGAGCAAGCGGACCUCAUAAAGUGCGUCGUAGUCCGGAUUGGAGUCUGCAACUCGACUCCAUGAAGUCGGAAUCGCUAGUAAUCGUGGAUCAGAAUGCCACGGUGAAUACGUUCCCGGGCCUUGUACACACCGCCCGUCACACCAUGGGAGUGGGUUGCAAAAGAAGUAGGUAGCUUAACCUUCGGGAGGGCGCUUACCACUUUGUGAUUCAUGACUGGGGUGAAGUCGUAACAAGGUAACCGUAGGGGAACCUGCGGUUGGAUCACCUCCUUACCUUAAAGAAGC
RNAcentral lists this ribosomal RNA (555 nucleotides) under Salmonella enterica subsp. enterica serovar Agona str. 400096 16. Its description in RNAcentral is "bacterial SSU rRNA". It matches the Rfam family "Bacterial small subunit ribosomal RNA", at positions 990 to 1533 of the family's 1533-position model. The record is from RNAcentral. Lineage: Bacteria; Pseudomonadati; Pseudomonadota; Gammaproteobacteria; Enterobacterales; Enterobacteriaceae.